Molecule: long non-coding RNA, 388 nt
Organism: Peromyscus leucopus (white-footed mouse)
Lineage: Eukaryota; Metazoa; Chordata; Mammalia; Rodentia; Cricetidae
Exons: 3
Source: RefSeq, a predicted model, not a curated record
CCUCCACGGCCAGGUCCUCCGAGAUUUGACUGAGCUGAAGGAAAAUAUACAUGUUUUAAGACUGAAGAACAGACUGCUGUGGGAAGAGCAGAUUGAAAUCCAAGAGUCCUGUGAGGAGCUGAAGAGGCUCUUGAAGGAGGCUCAUGAGGUCAUCUGUGACCCUUCUGCUGAGCAGCAGCAGGAGCAAGAGAGCCUGGAUGAAAGACUGAAGGACCUGCUGAAGCAGAAGGAGCUGGUCACCCAGCAAGAGGACUUGGCAGAAAAGCUGCAACAUCACUUCAGUGUCUCCGAGAUAAGGUUAGACCAUCACCAAUAUGAGUUUGAACAGGCCACAGCCCAGGAUGAGAGCCUCCUGCAGACAGAGCUGCUGCACCAGGAGCACUAAGUC